Molecule: ribosomal RNA, 381 nt
Filed under: uncultured bacterium
Lineage: Bacteria
Description: bacterial SSU rRNA
Rfam family: Bacterial small subunit ribosomal RNA
Source: RNAcentral
AUUGAACGCUGGCGGCAGGCCUAAUACAUGCAAGUCGAACGGUAACAUAAGAAAGCUUGCUUUCUUGAUGACGAGUGGCGGACGGGUGAGUAAUAUUUGGGAAGCUACCUGAUAGAGGGGGACAACAGUUGGAAACGACUGCUAAUACCGCAUACAGCCUGAGGGUGAAAGCAGCAAUGCGCUAUCAGAUGCGCCCAAACGGGAUUAGCUAGUAGGUGAGGUAAAGGCUCACCUAGGCGACGAUCUCUAGCUGGUCUGAGAGGAUGAUCAGCCACAUUGGGACUGAGACACGGCCCAGACUCCUACGGGAGCAGCAGUAGGGAAUAUUGCACAAUGGAGGAAACUCUGAUGCAGCCAUGCCGCGUGUGUGAAGAAGGCCUU